CAUUUUUGAACGGCCUUGUUUUAAUGGCAAUGGCGCGCAAUGGCCCUAGCUAGUGCCCCAAAAUUUGUCCUUGGAAAUAGCAGACGAACAGCCCAAAACAGUCCUAGCAGACGACAGUUCUGGGACCUUCAAUGUUAGACCAUGGUGCGGGUGGGAAUUCUGGAAUCGGCUUCGAGUGGUGCAUAUUUUCUAGUGAUGGUGUAGGAUGUAGUCCGAUCUGUUGUGUGACAGUGAAGUUAUUCUCCACCAAGAUUGAAAACGAGGAAUUCGAAUUACCACGGUAUCCGUGAAUCGUGGCAAGGAGUCUAUUGUAACGUUACGUAACUGCGAGUGUUGGUAAACUGAAGGAGCAUGGCGCUGAGGCUCGUGAACUGGCGGCUAAGGCCAAGUACUACGAUAUGGCAGCUGCUGUUCAGUCGAUGUUGACAAUAGCUUAGGACAUAUAGAUGUGAUUGAUUUCAACGGUGUAAGUGCGCAGUGAAAGCCUGGUCUCAUAAUAUACAUUCCAUGAGUUCAAGGCUUACGUGUUCGAAUUAGAAGUAUGGGUUAAAAAUAUUACCAAGAAAAUGGACGUACGCAGAUGUUUAGGUUGCUAUGCAUGCAUACUAAGAGGUCAAAGCCGAAAUUGACGGCUGCCAGAUCCAAUUUUGUACCCUCAAAAAUUAUGGCCGGCGCGUGGUUCAAUAACAAGAUACUCUGAAGGACGAUCGGUAGAUGUUCAUACGAGCCGGAAGAACUGAGAAGGACCUUGGCUGCUACCUGGGAGGAGAUUUAAGCUCUGUUGAGUUAAUGCGCAAUGACAAGAAUUCUGCCAUUUUAAAUUCGACAGAAUGUGCCACGAAAAAAGUGUGAAAGAAAGACUGUUUUGAAAGAAUCAUUGUUGCUGAAGGCCCUUUUAUCUGUGGAUUCAGAUUCGUGAUUGAUUGUGAUCUUCGAGUUUGGUCGCUGUCACUGAUGUCAUCGCUGUCGUCGUGUUUUCUUUUCUGCUUCCAUUCUUUAAGGACUUGGGAAUCGACCGUAUUGUUUUCUACUUUCAAAACCUUUUCUUUUUACCUUGAAGACGGAAGCUUUGGAGGUGUUGAUGGAUGUUUGUUGUAAAUUCACGUUCUUCGUAGCGUCGUGGAUGGAAAGCUUGCAGUACAUUUUUUUUCAGCUGCAGGUUUCAUAGAGUGAUCGAAGAUGUCAACUUCCAUCUUUUGUAGCUCUCAUUUUUAAAUUGUGUAAUUGGUCCGGCUUUUUGAAUUACACCUUCCACAUCUAGUGCCGUGGCUCAUUUGGUAAAUGUAAUUGAGUUGAGUCUUCGGGUGAUGACCAUUUGGGAAUUGAGUAUCUUGUUCAAGAUGGAUUACCUUGAUUUUUGCAAUUUGUAAUUAGAGUAUUAUUGAAAAUUUUAAUGUAACCUCUGUUUUGUUGCAAAUUAUCAUCUCAUAUUUGAACGGGUAGAUGCUGUUGGGUUUUGUAGCAGCGACGAUUUCGGCAAACUGCAUGUUAUAUAUUUCCCCUUCUUGAAUCAGUAGAUAAAAUUUUUCAGCGUCCUCGCCGGAGGCUUUGACUUUGAUUGUUCCGGACUCGUCUUCAAGUCGAAAGAAGAACAUCUUUUGGUCUUCCUUGAUCGGAAUUAGUCUUGAAAUUCACGAUGUCAUUUCUUUAAUUUUCCCCCCUAGGUUUGUAAAGGUAGGGGAGACUGGAGUAUGCCGGGACACCGGGUCAAGAGGGAC
Molecule: long non-coding RNA, 1718 nt
Filed under: Daphnia magna
Lineage: Eukaryota; Metazoa; Arthropoda; Branchiopoda; Diplostraca; Daphniidae
Description: uncharacterized LOC123470068, transcript variant X1
Source: RNAcentral